UACGUAGGGAGCAAGCGUUGUCCGGAUUUAUUGGGCGUAAAGAGCUCGUAGGCGGUUCCGGAAGUCGGGUGUGAAAAAUCUGGGCUCAACCCAGCGGAGCACCCGAUACUGCGGUGACUGGAGUCCGGUAGGGGAGUGUGGAAUUCCUGGUGUAGCGGUGAAAUGCGCAGAUAUCAGGAGGAACACCGACAGCGAAGGCAGCACUCUGGGCCGGUACUGACGCUGAGGAGCGAAAGCAUGGGGAGCGAACAGG
RNAcentral lists this ribosomal RNA (253 nucleotides) under uncultured bacterium. Its description in RNAcentral is "partial 16S ribosomal RNA". It matches the Rfam family "Bacterial small subunit ribosomal RNA", at positions 524 to 776 of the family's 1533-position model. The record is from RNAcentral.